This 497-nucleotide ribosomal RNA is filed under the name uncultured bacterium. RNAcentral's name for it is "partial 16S ribosomal RNA". It matches the Rfam family "Bacterial small subunit ribosomal RNA", at positions 28 to 507 of the family's 1533-position model. The record is from RNAcentral.
GAUGAACGCUGGCGGCGUGCCUAAUACAUGCAAGUCGAGCGAACAGACGAGGAGCUUGCUCCUCUGACGUUAGCGGCGGACGGGUGAGUAACACGUGGAUAACCUACCUAUAAGACUGGGAUAACUUCGGGAAACCGGAGCUAAUACCGGAUAAUAUAUUGAACCGCAUGGUUCAAUAGUGAAAGACGGUUUUGCUGUCACUUAUAGAUGGAUCCGCGCCGCAGUAGCUAGUUGGUAAGGUAACGGCUUACCAAGGCGACGAUGCGUAGCCGACCUGAGAGGGGGAUCGGCCACACUGGAGCUGAGACACGGUCCAGACUCCUACGGGAGGCAGCAGUAUGGAAUCGUCCGCAAUGGUCGAAAGCCUGACGGAGCAACGCCGCGUGAGUGAUGAAGGUCUUCGGAGCGUAAAACUCUGUUAUGAGGGAAGAACAAAUGUGUAAGUAACUAUGCACGUCUUGACGGUACCUAAUCAGAAAGCCACGGCUAACUACGUG